Transfer RNA from Sphaerobolus stellatus SS14, 74 nucleotides. It matches the Rfam family "tRNA". Rfam says of the family: Transfer RNA (tRNA) molecules are approximately 80 nucleotides in length. Their secondary structure includes four short double-helical elements and three loops (D, anti-codon, and T loops). Further hydrogen bonds mediate the characteristic L-shaped molecular structure. tRNAs have two regions of fundamental functional importance: the anti-codon, which is responsible for specific mRNA codon recognition, and the 3' end, to which the tRNAs corresponding amino acid is attached (by aminoacyl-tRNA synthetases). tRNAs cope with the degeneracy of the genetic code in two manners: having more than one tRNA (with a specific anti-codon) for a particular amino acid; and 'wobble' base-pairing, i.e. permitting non-standard base-pairing at the 3rd anti-codon position. NCBI's taxonomy places the organism in Eukaryota, Fungi, Basidiomycota, Agaricomycetes, Geastrales, Sphaerobolaceae. The record is from Rfam.
GGUCUAUUAGCUCAGUUGGUUAGACUAUGGUAUUAAUAAUGCAAAGGUCACAGGUUUGAUCCCUGUAUGGACCA